UUCUUUUCAUUUCUCUAGAAUGUUUGAAACAGCAAAGUUCGAAAAGUAAAACCCCAAAAUUUUUGUAAUUUUUGUAAUACAAAAUUUCCUUAUUUUUUUCUUUUUUUUUAAUGUGAAAUAAAAGUCAUGAAUCUUUACCGUGUAAUCAAGGCUUUGGGUAGGCCAACAACAAAAGAAAUUAUUUCUAAUGAAAUCGAUAAGCAUGUCAACAAAUGUACAAAUAAUUUGAAUGGAUUACUAAACAAUCUUAAUACAACGCUGGAAGAGAAUCUGCAUUUGCGAGUUUUGUCACUUGUUUACAAUAAAAACAAAACAAAAACCCUGAAUCAACCGAAAAACAAUUAAUGGUCUUUCAACUUGAAGGCUAAAAUUUUCCUAUUCUUUCUCCAUGGCUAACAAAAUGACAUUAUGGCUCUUCAUUUCUUAAAAUGAUCUUGUUAAAGCUUUCUAAUCAACUGCUACUAGAAUUCAUAUGAGACAGGAAAGUAAACUCCUUCUUGCCACAAUUGAAUUUGAUUACUUUGGAUGCAUUGGCCCAAUACGACUUAAACACAUUUCAAAAAUGCGACAAUUUUUCUUAACUGGAUUUUUUAUACAAAAUUCUUAUUCAAAUUUAUGGUUUACCGAAAAACAUUUUAGACUACCGAAAAUUAAAUGUUAUAAUUGUAAGUGAAA
Drosophila willistoni is the source of this 675-nucleotide long non-coding RNA. RefSeq lists it as uncharacterized. The transcript is spliced from 4 exons. The record is from RefSeq and is a predicted model, not a curated record. Lineage: Eukaryota; Metazoa; Arthropoda; Insecta; Diptera; Drosophilidae.